AAAAAACGUUUUUCAAAAGUGUUUCCUAUGCUUUGUAUGCGCUUAAUGAAAAUUUUUCAAGGCAAGCUUUCAAGUUACUGAAUUUACCCGCCAUUCGAAUUCACAGAGGUUUUCUUCUUCACCUUCCUUCGUCUCUCGCCGUUGCCGCCACUCACCAUCUCCGUCUCGUGCGCUCACCACCGUCGUCUCGUGAGCUCACCGUCGCAGCUCACAAUCGUCGUCUCGCGCGCUCACCGCCGCUGCUCCCAAUCGUCGCAAGCCUCCUUGGCUCAUCAUCGUAGCUCACAUCGUCGUCUCGUCGCUCACCAUCGUGCACUCACUAGAUAAUCAUUCUCUGAUUCACUCUCUAUCUUCUCUUUCUUGCUCAUUACCUCACUUCUUCUCUCGUUUCAGUGUCGAAGAAGGUGCGUGUGGCUAUGAUGAUGAUGAUGAUGAACAACAAUGGCCAAACUAGACAGAAAUGGUAGCUGAAGUGAUACAGAGAGUUUCUAACAUGGCAGGGGUUACGACAGAAGAAGUUCCAAUUAAUACACUGAAGUCUUCUACUGAAGAUCAAGAGAAUCAGGAUAAGUCUGCUGCACUGAGCUUACUUAGCAUUCAAGGAACUGCAUUGAUGUCUAUUGCUGUUGGUUUUGUUGUAGUAGCAAUGAUAUGAUGGACUUGAAGAUGAUCAUCAUCCAUUUGGUUGCUUCACUUGUGAAGAACUCUUCUUUUCUUGAUUCUUUUAAAUUUUGCUUAGUUUUCUCUUUCUCACUUUCUGAAAUGUCAAGAGUAUGCAUUGCUGUCUGAUUUGUUCUUUUCAACUUUUUGUUAGUAAAAUGUCUGAUAUGCUUUGAUUAAUUUGAUAUUAAAUUUCGCAAAACCUGUUCACCAUAAGUUCGGCAAAAUGUGAUAUUAAGGCAGGAAACUCUUCAGCUUGGGCCAGUUUAAGGGGUUUGGACUUCUGUGUUUUAUUUCUUCUAGAAACUUCAAUAUAAUAUAAUAUGAUACAUCAGUGUAAAUCCUAAACCCUUUUAAUGGUAGUUACUUAUCUGGAAGUCUUUUAAGACCUUUUAAAAGCCAUAUUUAUGGAUAAUUGCAGAGAAAUACUAAGAAUGCAAGCAUGGAAAAAGGGAAAUUAAAUUCAAUCUCUUCUCUAAGUCUCAACUAACUUGAUUUGUAUUAAUCAUCAUCCAUGUUCUUAGAGUUUAUUAACUCAAUGAUUGAUCUUGAACACAAGUUUUAUCAGAAACGUGAUUAAGCAAUGCAUACCAGAGCUGUUUACUUAUUCAAUUUCCUGGCAGCUUUCUCAUGUAAUUUCCCCUGAAAUUCGAAUGAGUUCUAUUCCACUGUUUGAUAAAUGGUCCCUGGGAUUUUAUCUUGUAUGUGUUACUUUUUCAGGAGAUUUUGAAGGGCAAGUUCGGUUCAGGUUUAUCAGUGAUCAUAAAGUCUUGUUGUUUUCUCCUAAGUAUUUUGUUGAAGUUUUCACCCCAUUACUUGUAAAAUUAUCCUGUCAGCUGCAUUCACUCGGAUGUGUGCCACUUCUGUGGAAACAAUUAGUCUUACAACUUGGGCCUAGUGUCAAUUGUGAUAUUAACUAGCUCGUUGGCAUUUCAACUGUCAGUUAUGAUCUUGUGUUAUUCUCAUUUUCAUUGUUGUAUCUUUUCUUACCUUCUCUUCCACUUUAUAUUAAAAACCUUGUUUGGCUAGAGAUUUCUAUGUAUAUCCUUGCUGCCUACUCGAAUUAUGCAUUCUUUUAUUAAUAAUAUGCUGAGUUACUUAUCCAAAAGUGGGGAAAAAAUAAUUUUCUGCAGACUGAACAGAAGCAAUGAGGCUUGGUAUCAAUGGACCUUGGAUCACCAAAUCAUAUCUUGAAAUGAUCCUUGAUAAAAAAAGAAAUGCCUUCCUCGAUGCUGAUUGGUCACUGGUUGAGAAGACCAGAAGAAAUACAUUUUUGCCUGCCAAGGCACUGCAAUCAUUGCACCAAAACCAAUUCGUGCGACUCCUGACCUUGUUACCGGAUUGGAGGAUUUUCUCAGCCAUGGACUCGGUUCCUCAACUGAUCAAAUGGCUAUUUGCUCGCAAAACCUCUGAUAAAUUGUCUUUGUAAAGUUCUAGUCCAAACACAGUAGGAGAGGAGGGAGGAGAGUUAGCCACAAGAGCUUGUUUGUAACUCACAUUCUGUAUCAUACAUUUAUUUUUUUUAUAU
This is a long non-coding RNA of Arachis ipaensis, 2188 nucleotides long. RefSeq lists it as uncharacterized. The record is from RefSeq and is a predicted model, not a curated record. Lineage: Eukaryota; Viridiplantae; Streptophyta; Magnoliopsida; Fabales; Fabaceae.